GGNGGCAGCAGUGGGGAAUAUUGCACAAUGGGCGAAAGCCUGAUGCAGCGACGCCGCGUGAGGGAUNNCNNNNNUCGGGUUGUAAACCUCUUUCAGCAGGGAAGAAGCGAAAGUGACNGUACCUGCAGAAGAAGCGCCGGCUAACUACGUGCCAGCAGCCGCGGUAAUACGUAGGGCGCAAGCGUUGUCCGGAAUUAUUGGGCGUAAAGAGCUCGUAGGCGGCUUGUCGCGUCGGAUGUGAAAGCCCGGGGCUUAACCCCGGGUCUGCAUUCGAUACGGGCAGGCUAGAGUUCGGUAGGGGAGAUCGGAAUUCCUGGUGUAGCGGUGAAAUGCNCAGAUAUCAGGAGGAACNCCGGUGGCGAAGGCGGNUCUCUGGGCCGA
This 381-nucleotide ribosomal RNA is filed under the name Streptomyces sp. RNAcentral describes it as "partial 16S ribosomal RNA". It matches the Rfam family "Bacterial small subunit ribosomal RNA", at positions 344 to 737 of the family's 1533-position model. The record is from RNAcentral. Lineage: Bacteria; Bacillati; Actinomycetota; Actinomycetes; Kitasatosporales; Streptomycetaceae.